GCAUUGGUGGUUCAGUGGUAGAAUUCUCGCCUGCCACGCGGGAGACCCGGGUCCGAUUCCCGGCCAAUGCA
Molecule: non-coding RNA, 71 nt
Organism: Danio rerio (zebrafish)
Lineage: Eukaryota; Metazoa; Chordata; Actinopteri; Cypriniformes; Danionidae
Source: Rfam